GACAGAGGGUGCAAACGUUGUUCGGAAUUACUGGGCGUAAAGCGUGUGUAGGCGGCUGCGUAAGUCGGAUGUGAAAGCCCCAGGCUCAACCCUGGAAGUGCACUCGAUACUGCUCGGCUAGAGUCCCGGAGAGGAUGGUGGAACUCUCGGUGUAGAGGUGAAAUUCGUAGAUAUCGAGAAGAACACCGGUGGCGAAGGCGGUCAUCUGGACGGUGACUGACGCUGAGACGCGAAAGCGUGGGGAGCAAACAGG
This 253-nucleotide ribosomal RNA is filed under the name uncultured bacterium. RNAcentral's name for it is "partial 16S ribosomal RNA". It matches the Rfam family "Bacterial small subunit ribosomal RNA", at positions 524 to 776 of the family's 1533-position model. The record is from RNAcentral.